This 270-nucleotide ribosomal RNA is filed under the name uncultured bacterium. RNAcentral describes it as "partial 16S ribosomal RNA". It matches the Rfam family "Bacterial small subunit ribosomal RNA", at positions 29 to 282 of the family's 1533-position model. The record is from RNAcentral.
AGCGAACGUUAGCGGCGGGCCUAACACAUGCAAGUCGCACGAGAAAAGGGCUUCGGCUCUGAGUAAAGUGGCGGACGGGUGAGUAACACGUGGGUAAUCUACCUUUCAGCGGGGGAUAACAGUCCGAAAGGAUUGCUAAUACCGCGUACGUCGCCCGGGUCUUCGGAUCUGGGUGGGAAAGCCGACCUCUCCAUGGAAGUUGGCACUGAAAGAGGAGCCCGCGGCCCAUCAGCUAGUUGGUAGGGUAAUGGCCUACCAAGGCUUAGACGG